UACAGAGGGGGCAAGCGUUGUUCGGAAUUACUGGGCGUAAAGUGUGCGCAGGCGGCCGCGCAAGUCGAGUGUGAAAGCCCCGAGCUUAACUUGGGAAUUGCGCUCGAAACUACGUGGCUGGAGUGUGGCAGAGGAAGGUGGAAUUCCACGUGUAGCGGUGAAAUGCGUAGAGAUGUGGAGGAACACCGAUGGCGAAGGCAGCCUUCUGGGCCAACACUGACGCUCAUGCACGAAAGCGUGGGGAGCAAACAGG
Molecule: ribosomal RNA, 253 nt
Filed under: uncultured bacterium
Lineage: Bacteria
Description: partial 16S ribosomal RNA
Rfam family: Bacterial small subunit ribosomal RNA
Source: RNAcentral